RNAcentral lists this ribosomal RNA (483 nucleotides) under uncultured bacterium. Its description in RNAcentral is "partial 16S ribosomal RNA". It matches the Rfam family "Bacterial small subunit ribosomal RNA", at positions 28 to 507 of the family's 1533-position model. The record is from RNAcentral.
GACGAACGCUGGCGGCGUGCUUAACACAUGCAAGUCGAACGCUGAAGCUCAGCUUUUGUUGGGUGGAUGAGUGGCGAACGGGUGAGUAACACGUGAGUAACCUGCCCCCUUCUUUGGGAUAACGCCCGGAAACGGGUGCUAAUACUGGAUAUUCACUGGUCUUCGCAUGGGGGUUGGUGGAAAGGGUUUUUCUGGUGGGGGAUGGGCUCGCGGCCUAUCAGCUUGUUGGUGGGGUGAUGGCCUACCAAGGCUUUGACGGGUAGCCGGCCUGAGAGGGUGACCGGUAACAUUGGGACUGUGAUACGGCCCAGACUACUACGGGAGGCAGCAGUGGGGAAUAUUGCACAAUGGGCGCAAGCCUGAUGCAGCGACGCCGCGUGAGGGAUGGAGGCCUUCGGGUUGUGAACCUCUUUCGCUCAUGGUCAAGCCGCAACAAUGGUUGUGGUGAGGGUAGUGGGUAAAGAAGCGCCGGCUAACUACGUG